GACGAACGCUGGCGGCGUGCUUAACACAUGCAAGUCGAACGGAAAGGCCCUGCUUUUGUGGGGUGCUCGAGUGGCGAACGGGUGAGUAACACGUGAGUAACCUGACCUUGACUUUGGGAUAACUUCAGGAAACUGGGGCUAAUACCGGAUAGGAGCUCCUGCUGCAUGGUGGGGGUUGGAAAGUUUCGGCGGUUGGGGAUGGACUCGCGGCUUAUCAGCUUGUUGGUGGGGUAGUGGCUUACCAAGGCUUUGACGGGUAGCCGGCCUGAGAGGGUGACCGGCCACAUUGGGACUGAGAUACGGCGCAGACUCCUACGGGAGGCAGCAGUGGGGAAUAUUGCACAAUGGGCGGAAGCCUGAUGCAGCAACGCCGCGUGCGGGAUGACGGCCUUCGGGUUGUAAACCGCUUUCGCCUGUGACGAAGCGUGAGUGACGGUAAUGGGUAAAGAAGCACCGGCUAACUACGUG
This 468-nucleotide ribosomal RNA is filed under the name uncultured bacterium. Its description in RNAcentral is "partial 16S ribosomal RNA". It matches the Rfam family "Bacterial small subunit ribosomal RNA", at positions 28 to 507 of the family's 1533-position model. The record is from RNAcentral.